GGAGGAGUGCCCGAGUGGUUAAAGGGGACGGACUGUAAAUCCGUUGGCUAUGCCUACAUUGGUUCAAAUCCAAUCUCCUCCACCA
RNAcentral lists this transfer RNA (85 nucleotides) under Magnetococcales bacterium. Its description in RNAcentral is "tRNA-Tyr". It matches the Rfam family "tRNA". Rfam says of the family: Transfer RNA (tRNA) molecules are approximately 80 nucleotides in length. Their secondary structure includes four short double-helical elements and three loops (D, anti-codon, and T loops). Lineage: Bacteria; Pseudomonadati; Pseudomonadota; Magnetococcia; Magnetococcales. The record is from RNAcentral.